Molecule: ribosomal RNA, 450 nt
Filed under: uncultured bacterium
Lineage: Bacteria
Description: bacterial SSU rRNA
Rfam family: Bacterial small subunit ribosomal RNA
Source: RNAcentral
GGUGAAUGCUAGCGGUGCGCCUAACACAUGCAAGUCGAGCGAGAAUCUUUUGUUGCUUGCAACAAAAGAGGACAGCGGCAAACGGGUGAGUAACACGUUGGAAUCUGCCCCCAAGUCAGGGAUAGUCCACUGAAAAGUGGUUUAAUACCGGAUGUGCUCUUCGGAGUAAAGAUUUAUCGCUUGGGGAGGAGCCUGCGUUCUAUCAGCUAGUUGGUAGUGUAAAAGACUACCAAGGCUAUGACGGAUAACUGGUCUGAGAGGAUGAUCAGUCACAAUGGAACUGAGACACGGUCCAUACUCCUACGGGAGGCAGCAGUGAGGAAUCUUCCACAAUGGACGAAAGUCUGAUGGAGCGACACCGCGUGAAGGAUGAAGGUCUAACGAUUGUAAACUUCUUUUCUGAGGGAGCAUAAUGAGAGUACCUCAGGAAUAAGGGACGGCUAAUCACGU